Molecule: ribosomal RNA, 251 nt
Filed under: uncultured prokaryote
Description: partial 16S rRNA
Rfam family: Bacterial small subunit ribosomal RNA
Source: RNAcentral
ACGGAGGGUGCGAGCGUUAAUCGGAAUCACUGGGAGUCAAGCGCACGUAGGCGGUGUCGUAAGUCGGAUGUGAACGCCCUCGGCUCAACCGGGGAACUGCAUUCGAUACUGCGACGCUUCAGUGUCGGAGAGGCUGGCGGAAUUCCAGGUAUAGGAGUAAAACCCCUAGAUAUCGGGAGGAACACCAUGAGCGAAGGCAGCCACCUGGCCGGCACCUGACGCUGAGGUGCGAAAGCGUUGGGAUCGAUCAG